UGAGGAAUAUUGGUCAAUGGACGAAAGUCUGAACCAGCAAUGCCGCGUGCAGGAUGAAGGCCUUCGGGUUGUAAACUGCUUUUGUACGGAACGAAAAGCUUUGGGCUAAUACCCUGGAGUCAUGACGGUACCGUAAGAAUAAGCACCGGCUAACUACGUGCCAGCAGCCGCGGUAAUACGUAGGGUGCAAGCGUUAAUCGGAAUUACUGGGCGUAAAGCGUGCGCAGGCGGUUUUGUAAGACAGAGGUGAAAUCCCCGGGCUCAACCUGGGAACUGCCUUUGUGACUGCAAGGCUAGAGUACGGCAGAGGGGGGUGGAAUUCCGCGUGUAGCAGUGAAAUGCGUAGAUAUGCGGAGGAACACCGAUGGCGAAGGCAACCCCCUGGGCCUGUACUGACGCUCAUGCACGAAAGCGUGGGGAGCAAACA
Molecule: ribosomal RNA, 427 nt
Filed under: uncultured Comamonadaceae bacterium
Lineage: Bacteria; Pseudomonadati; Pseudomonadota; Betaproteobacteria; Burkholderiales; Comamonadaceae
Description: bacterial SSU rRNA
Rfam family: Bacterial small subunit ribosomal RNA
Source: RNAcentral